This is a long non-coding RNA of Strigops habroptila (Kakapo), 100 nucleotides long. RefSeq lists it as uncharacterized. The transcript has 3 exons. The record is from RefSeq and is a predicted model, not a curated record. NCBI's taxonomy places the organism in Eukaryota, Metazoa, Chordata, Aves, Psittaciformes, Psittacidae.
UUUGCUGCCACAUGGAUCUCCACUCCCUACCUCUACUGAGACGGCAGACCAAAGGACCUCGCUAGCACACUGUCCCUCAAACAGUGACAUACUGCCUGCA